RNAcentral lists this transfer RNA (69 nucleotides) under Nacella magellanica. RNAcentral's name for it is "tRNA-Arg". Lineage: Eukaryota; Metazoa; Mollusca; Gastropoda; Nacellidae. The record is from RNAcentral. RNAcentral also lists the same sequence under 2 other names.
AUUUUUAGAAAUGAUAUAAUUCAUAUGCGAUUUCGGCUCGUAGUUUGGUGGUGUUUCACCCUAAAUUUU